RNAcentral lists this ribosomal RNA (426 nucleotides) under uncultured bacterium. Its description in RNAcentral is "bacterial SSU rRNA". It matches the Rfam family "Bacterial small subunit ribosomal RNA", at positions 354 to 796 of the family's 1533-position model. The record is from RNAcentral.
GUAGGGAAUAUUGCACAAUGGGCGAAAGCCUGAUGCAGCAACGCCGCGUGCGCGAUGAAGGCCUUCGGGUCGUAAAGCGCUUUUCGGGGGGAUGAGGAAGGACAGUACCCCCGGAAUAAGUCACGGCUAACUACGUGCCAGCAGCCGCGGUAAGACGUAGGUGGCGAGCGUUAUCCGGAUUUACUGGGCGUAAAGCGCGUGCAGGCGGUUCGGCAAGUCGGGCGUGAAAUCUCCUGGCUCAACUGGGAGGGGCCGUCCGAAACUACCGGACUUGAGGGCAGUAGAGGGAGGUGGAAUUCCGGGUGUAGUGGUGAAAUGCGUAGAUAUCCGGAGGAACACCGGUGGCGAAAGCGGCCUCCUGGGCUGCCCCUGACGCUCAGACGCGAAAGCUAGGGGAGCGAACGGGAUUAGAUACCCUUGUAGUCC